GACGAACGCUGGCGGCGUGCUUAACACAUGCAAGUCGAACGGAAAGGCCCUGCUUUUGUGGGGUGCUCGAGUGGCGAACGGGUGAGCAACACGUGAGUAACCUGCCCUUGACUUUGGGAUAACUUCAGGAAACUGGGGCUAAUACCGGAUAGGAGCUCCUGCUGCAUGGUGGGGGUUGGAAAGUUUCGGCGGUUGGGGAUGGACUCGCGGCUUAUCAGCUUGUUGGUGGGGUAGUGGCUUACCAAGGCUUUGACGGGUAGCCGGCCUGAGAGGGUGACCGGCCACAUUGGGACUGCGAUACGGCCCAGACUCCUACGGGAGGCAGCAGUGGGGAAUAUUGCACAAUGGGCGGACGCCUGAUGCAGCAACGCCGCGUGCGGGAUGACGGCCUUCGGGUUGUAAACCGCUUUCGCCUGUGACGAAGCGUGAGUGACGGUAAUGGGUAAAGAAGCACCGGCUAACUACGUG
This 468-nucleotide ribosomal RNA is filed under the name uncultured bacterium. RNAcentral's name for it is "partial 16S ribosomal RNA". It matches the Rfam family "Bacterial small subunit ribosomal RNA", at positions 28 to 507 of the family's 1533-position model. The record is from RNAcentral.